GAGGGUAUAGCUCAGUGGUAGAGUGCAUGCUUAGCAUGCAUGAGGUCCUGGGUUCAAGCCCCGGUACCUUAU
This 72-nucleotide transfer RNA is filed under the name Camelus bactrianus (Bactrian camel). It matches the Rfam family "tRNA". From Rfam's summary of the family: Transfer RNA (tRNA) molecules are approximately 80 nucleotides in length. Their secondary structure includes four short double-helical elements and three loops (D, anti-codon, and T loops). Further hydrogen bonds mediate the characteristic L-shaped molecular structure. tRNAs have two regions of fundamental functional importance: the anti-codon, which is responsible for specific mRNA codon recognition, and the 3' end, to which the tRNAs corresponding amino acid is attached (by aminoacyl-tRNA synthetases). tRNAs cope with the degeneracy of the genetic code in two manners: having more than one tRNA (with a specific anti-codon) for a particular amino acid; and 'wobble' base-pairing, i.e. permitting non-standard base-pairing at the 3rd anti-codon position. The record is from Rfam by way of RNAcentral. Lineage: Eukaryota; Metazoa; Chordata; Mammalia; Artiodactyla; Camelidae. RNAcentral also lists the same sequence under 2 other names.